RNAcentral lists this transfer RNA (73 nucleotides) under Caballeronia arvi. RNAcentral's name for it is "Burkholderia arvi tRNA-Val". The record is from RNAcentral. Lineage: Bacteria; Pseudomonadati; Pseudomonadota; Betaproteobacteria; Burkholderiales; Burkholderiaceae.
GGGCUCGUCGCGCAGGCGUUCGGCGCGCGCGAUGACGACGCGUUGCGCGCGAGCGUGCUGCGCGCGAUGCUGC